GAUGAACGCUGGCGGCGUGCCUAAUACAUGCAAGUCGAGCGAACAGACGAGGAGCUUGCUCCUCUGACGUUAGCGGCGGACGGGGGAGGAACACGUGGAUAACCAACCUAUAGGCCUGGACUAACGUCGGAGAACGGGAACUAAUACCGAAUAAUAUAUUGAACCGCAGGGUGGAGUAGGAGAAGAGGGUUUUGUUUCUACUGUUUGGUGACUCGCCGCCGGAUUAGCAGGUUGGUAAGGUAACGGCUAUCCAAGGCCACGAUGGGUAGCCGACCGGAGCGGGUGAUCGGCCACCCUGGAACUGAGACACGGUCCCGGCUCCUACGGGGAGCAGCAGCAGGGAAUCUUCCGCAAUGGGCGGAAGCCUGACGGAGCAACGGCGACUGAGUGAUGGAGGUCUUCGGAUCGUAAAACUCUGUUAUUAGGGAAGAACAAAUGUGUAAGUAACUAUGCACGUCUUGACGGUACCUAAACAGAAAGCCCCGGCUAACUACGUG
Molecule: ribosomal RNA, 497 nt
Filed under: uncultured bacterium
Lineage: Bacteria
Description: partial 16S ribosomal RNA
Rfam family: Bacterial small subunit ribosomal RNA
Source: RNAcentral